Long non-coding RNA from Hippopotamus amphibius kiboko, 390 nucleotides. RefSeq lists it as uncharacterized. NCBI's taxonomy places the organism in Eukaryota, Metazoa, Chordata, Mammalia, Artiodactyla, Hippopotamidae. The record is from RefSeq and is a predicted model, not a curated record. The transcript is spliced from 3 exons.
UCUGGCGCUGAGGAGCUGCGUCCCUUCUCGGAAGGACACCACCGGCCCCUCUGCAGAGGGCUGACGACCCCUCCUCCGGGUGGUGAUCCACAAAGGAGAAAAUGAAAAGCUAGCAACCCCCACAAAACAAAAGCUUCCCCCUGUCUUUCCCCUCUGAUGCCAGAACCCUGCGAACCCGCGCGGCGUCCUCUUCUCUCGAACACUAGUCCCUUCCGCAGAGGGGGAGGAGAAGCCCCAGCCCAGCUCCUAGUGGGAUGCAGGAGGAGGAGUGACGUCCACCAGCAGCACAUGAAGCAGCAAAACCUCCCAGCUGAGCCCAGCCAACCCACAGAAUCAUGAAAAAUGACACAUUUUGUUGUUUUAAGCAUUAAGUUUGGGGGUGGCUUGUUA